CAGCCAACAACAGUUGAACAAACCAACAAAUGAAUUACCUGAUUACUUCUGUAGAUUAAUUCUGCGGAUGCACCAAGGUACUUGCACAGGAAACGGCCUGCUCUGAGAACAGACGGCUAAACCCGCCAGAGCUGUCUUUAGAAAUUAGCCAGGAUGGUCUAAACACCACCACCACCACCACCACCAAAAAAAGAUCCUUGGAUUCCUCUCUAUUUCAUGUGUUGCCUCGCUCGCUUACUUGCCUGUGUGUAUCAUCGAGCACCAUUGAUUGGAAAUGCUUCAAACAUUGAGGCAAAUCACGUGCAUUCAUGGAUGAACAUGCAGUAAGUAUUUGUGGACAUGACAUAUAAUCACUCAACCAUUCCGUCGUUUGAGCUUUUUUGUUGCUAAAGCACUUCAUUAUUAUCAAACACA
Molecule: long non-coding RNA, 414 nt
Organism: Alosa sapidissima (American shad)
Lineage: Eukaryota; Metazoa; Chordata; Actinopteri; Clupeiformes; Clupeidae
Exons: 3
Source: RefSeq, a predicted model, not a curated record